CUUGGUCAUUUAGAGGAAGUAAAAGUCGUAACAAGGUCUCCGUUGGUGAACCAGCGGAGGGAUCAUUACCGAGUUUACAACUCCCAAACCCCUGUGAACAUACCUAUACGUUGCCUCGGCGGAUCAGCCCGCGCCCCGUAAAAAGGGACGGCCCGCCCGAGGACCCCUAAACUCUGUUUUUAGUGGAACUUCUGAGUAAAACAAACAAAUAAAUCAAAACUUUCAACAACGGAUCUCUUGGUUCUGGCAUCGAUGAAGAACGCAGCAAAAUGCGAUAAGUAAUGUGAAUUGCAGAAUUCAGUGAAUCAUCGAAUCUUUGAACGCACAUUGCGCCCGCCAGUAUUCUGGCGGGCAUGCCUGUUCGAGCGUCAUUUCAACCCUCAAGCUCAGCUUGGUGUUGGGACUCGCGGUAACCCGCGUUCCCCAAAUCGAUUGGCGGUCACGUCGAGCUUCCAUAGCGUAGUAAUCAUACACCUCGUUACUGGUAAUCGUCGCGGCCACGCCGUAAAACCCCAACUUCUGAAUGUUGACCUCGGAUCAGGUAGGAAUACCCGCUGAACUUAAGCAUAUCAAUAAGCGGAGGA
RNAcentral lists this ribosomal RNA (584 nucleotides) under Fusarium redolens. Its description in RNAcentral is "eukaryotic LSU rRNA". The stretch from base 218 to 371 matches the Rfam family "5.8S ribosomal RNA". RNAcentral also lists the same sequence under 2 other names. Lineage: Eukaryota; Fungi; Ascomycota; Sordariomycetes; Hypocreales; Nectriaceae. The record is from RNAcentral.